RNAcentral lists this ribosomal RNA (466 nucleotides) under uncultured bacterium. Its description in RNAcentral is "partial 16S ribosomal RNA". It matches the Rfam family "Bacterial small subunit ribosomal RNA", at positions 28 to 507 of the family's 1533-position model. The record is from RNAcentral.
GAUGAACGCUGGCGGCGUGCUUAACACAUGCAAGUCGAACGAUGAAGCCCAGCUUGCUGGGUGGAUUAGUGGCGAACGGGUGAGUAACACGUGAGUAACCUGCCCUUGACUCUGGGAUAAGCCUGGGAAACUGGGUCUAAUACUGGAUAUGACUUCUCAUCGCAUGGUGGGGGGUGGAAAGAUUUAUUGGUCUUGGAUGGACUCGCGGCCUAUCAGCUUGUUGGUGAGGUAAUGGCUCACCAAGGCGACGACGGGUAGCCGGCCUGAGAGGGUGACCGGCCACACUGGGACUGAGACACGGUCCAGACUCCUACGGGAGGCAGCAGUGGGGAAUAUUGCACAAUGGGCGCAAGCCUGAUGCAGCGACGCCGCGUGAGGGAUGACGGCCUUCGGGUUGUAAACCUCUUUCAGUAGGGAAGAAGCGAGAGUGACGGUACCUGCAGAAGAAGCGCCGGCUAACUACGUG